AAGGUGUUUGUUUCCACUAACAUCGCCAAAAAAGUAGAGUAUACGUAGUUAUGCCGGAGUAACAUUUUUAAUAUAACAAUUUUUAUACAAUACACAAGUGUUUCCUACAGAAACAAAAAAUAAUCAGUAACAAAAACUUUCAAGAGUAUACAACAUCGUUUUUAUAUAUUAAGACGUUAAAAAGAAAACCGAUUUCCAUUUAAUAAUUAGCUGUUUUGUUUCAAUGUUGACAUGAAUUUAUAAACGUUCAUGUCAGCCCUUUAGAUAUCAAUCUUUGCAAAGUAAGCAGAAUUCUUUGCACAUUAUUUAUGAUACGCUUGCACAAUCAACCAGUCCUUGUGUUUUAAUAUCGUUGCCCACAGUUGACUUGUUUAAUUUUAUUUGUUUACACAUUUUUGUUAUGAUUAUAUGUAUUUAUUCAAUUUUCUUAAUGUGGUUUUUAUGUAAGUUUCUUGAUGGUAAUUUCUAUUGAAUUUUUAAAAGUUGUUUGGAUGUUUUUUGUUCGGACAUAUUUUAGAUAUAUAAAUGUUUAAUCGAUGGUUUCUAAUGUCCCAAUGUAACAACGGAAAAUCAAACUACAAUUUAUAAGAAAAAAUAACUGUGAUGUUCGCAUACAUUGUUAUGUAUUUAUCGCAUAUAUUUUUUUCAGUAAAAGGAGAAGAGGCGAAUAAACUUAACUGCAUCCACAAUUAAGGCACACCAUCAACCAUUCUGGAAAGUCCCCGAAGAAGAUGUAUGAAGUACGUCAACAGCCUCGUCAGCAAAAAGACGCUCCGUCGUACUUGCUGAUGGUACAGCGAUAUCUUCAGUGGGGUUAGAUUUGCGAAGUGACCAGUUUCCGGACAGUGGUUCGCUCCUGCUUGUGUACGAAUUUGGCCGAGACGUAAAAAUAAUGUAUUUUGCAACCUUACAGUGGAAACCGAUAUAACAGAUUUGCGAGGUGACCAAUUUCCGGACAGUGGUUCGCUUCUGAUUGUGUACGAGUUUGGCCGAGACUAAACAAACUGUAUGUUGCAACCUUACAGUAGAAACAGAUAUAACAGG
Molecule: long non-coding RNA, 1044 nt
Organism: Dreissena polymorpha
Lineage: Eukaryota; Metazoa; Mollusca; Bivalvia; Myida; Dreissenidae
Exons: 4
Source: RefSeq, a predicted model, not a curated record